CCUACGGGUGGCAGCAGUGAGGAAUAUUGGUCAAUGGACGAGAGCCUGAACCAGCCAAGUAGCGUGAAGGAUGACUGCCCUAUGGGUUGUAAACUUCUUUUAUAUGGGAAUAAAAUGUUCCACGUGUGGGAUUUUGUAUGUACCAUAUGAAUAAGGAUCGGCUAACUCCGUGCCAGCAGCCGCGGUAAUACGGAGGAUCCGAGCGUUAUCCGGAUUUAUUGGGUUUAAAGGGAGCGUAGGUGGAUUGUUAAGUCAGUUGUGAAAGUUUGCGGCUCAACCGUAAAAUUGCAGUUGAAACUGGCAGUCUUGAGUACAGUAGAGGUGGGCGGAAGUCGUGGUGUAGCGGUGAAAUGCUUAGAUAUCACGAAGAACUCCGAUUGCGAAGGCAGCUCACUGGACUGCAACUGACACUGAGGCUCGAAAGUGUGGGUAUCAAACAGGAUUAGAUACCCCAGUAGUC
RNAcentral lists this ribosomal RNA (460 nucleotides) under uncultured bacterium. RNAcentral's name for it is "partial 16S ribosomal RNA". It matches the Rfam family "Bacterial small subunit ribosomal RNA", at positions 338 to 795 of the family's 1533-position model. The record is from RNAcentral.